UAGCAUAUCAAUAAGCGGAGGAAAAGAAACCAACAGGGAUUGCCCUAGUAACGGCGAGUGAAGCGGCAACAGCUCAAAUUUGAAAUCUGGCUCUUUCAGAGUCCGAGUUGUAAUUUGCAGAGGGCGCUUUGGCGUUGGCAGCGGUCCAAGUUCUUUGGAACAGGACGUCACAGAGGGUGAGAAUCCCGUACGUGGUCGCUAGCCUUCGCCGUGUAAAGCCCCUUCGACGAGUCGAGUUGUUUGGGAAUGCAGCUCUAAAUGGGAGGUAAAUUUCUUCUAAAGCUAAAUACUGGCCAGAGACCGAUAGCGCACAAGUAGAGUGAUCGAAAGAUGAAAAGCACUUUGGAAAGAGAGUCAAAUAGCACGUGAAAUUGUUGAAAGGGAAGCGCUUGCAGCCAGACUUGCCUGUAGUUGCUUAUCUGGACUUUUGUCCAGUGCACUCUUCUGCGGGCAGGCCAGCAUCAGUUUGGGCGGUUGGAUAAAGGUCUCUGUCAUGUACCUCCUUUCGGGGAGGCCUUAUAGGGGAGACGACAUGCAACCAGCCUGGACUGAGGUCCGCGCAUCUGCUAGGAUGCUGGCGUAAUGGCUGUAAGCGGCCCGUCUUGAAACACGGACCAAGGAGUCUAACAUCUAUGCGAGUGUUUGGGUGUCAAGCCCAGACGCGUAAUGAAAGUGAACGGAGGUGGGAACCUUUUAGGUGCACCAUCGACCGAUCCUGAUGUCUUCGGAAGGAUUUGAGUAAGAGCAUAGCUGUUGGGACCCGAAAGAUGGUGAACUAUGCUUGAAUAGGGUGAAGCCAGAGGAAACUCUGGUGGAGGCUCGCAGCGGUUCUGACGUGCAAAUCGAUCGUCAAAUUUGGGCAUAGGGGCGAAAGACUAAUC
RNAcentral lists this ribosomal RNA (881 nucleotides) under Parastagonospora nodorum. RNAcentral's name for it is "eukaryotic LSU rRNA". It matches the Rfam family "Eukaryotic large subunit ribosomal RNA", at positions 36 to 936 of the family's 3401-position model. The record is from RNAcentral. Lineage: Eukaryota; Fungi; Ascomycota; Dothideomycetes; Pleosporales; Phaeosphaeriaceae.